UGGGGAAUAUUGGACAAUGGGCGCAAGCCUGAUCCAGCAAUGCCGCGUGUGUGAAGAAGGCCUUCGGGUUGUAAAGCACUUUUAUCAGGAGCGAAACGCUGUCGGCUAAUACCCGGCGGAACUGACGGUACCUGAGGAAUAAGCACCGGCUAACUUCGUGCCAGCAGCCGCGGUAAUACGAAGGGUGCAAGCGUUAAUCGGAAUUACCGGGCGUAAAGCGUGCGUAGGCGGUUUCUUAAGUCUGCUGUGAAAUCCCCGGGCUCAACCUGGGAAUGGCAGUGGAUACUGGGAGGCUAGAGUGUGUCAGAGGGUGGUGGAAUUCCCGGUGUAGCGGUGAAAUGCGUAGAGAUCGGGAGGAACAUCAGUGGCGAAGGCGGCCACCUGGGACAACACUGACGCUGAGGCACGAAAGCGUGGGGAGCAAACAGGAUUAGAUACCCUGGUAGUCCACGCCCUAAAACGAUGCGAACUGGAUGCUGGUCUCAACUCGGAGAUCAGUGUCGAAGCUAACGCGUUAAGUUCGCCGCCUGGGGAGUACGGUCGCAAGACUGAAACUCAAAUGAAUUGAC
RNAcentral lists this ribosomal RNA (569 nucleotides) under uncultured bacterium. Its description in RNAcentral is "partial 16S ribosomal RNA". It matches the Rfam family "Bacterial small subunit ribosomal RNA", at positions 355 to 914 of the family's 1533-position model. The record is from RNAcentral.